AUGAAUUUCCAUGCUGGGUUCUCCAGAUGUUAUGAACUUCGUUCUUAUCAAAUAUUUUCAAUUGUUUAUAUCAUUCAUGAUUCCCCUUUAUGCAAUGUAACUCACUUUUAUGGAUUCUCCCUUAUUUCCAUGAAAUCUAUCUAUCUGCCUAUAUGUAUUUGUACUCUUUGGGAUCCCCGGAAAAUAUGUAUUUUUCCCAGCAUGGAAAUUCAUAAAAGUGGAGUUUUAGCAGCAUGAUUUUACAAUUCAUGAAGUUGUUAUCUCUUGCCUCAGAGUGCAGGGAUAAUCCACAGUAAACUCCAGUAAAAAGUCUCAAUCACCUUCUACUAUAAAUAUAUGGAAUAUAGAACAUAAAGUCUUGAUUUUUGAACUAUCUUUUACAAAGUCCUGGGGGGGGUGGUGGUCACCUCGAUCACAUCACCUCAAACAGCAGGUACUGGGAGGUGUUGGAAGAGACAAUUGGGAGCUAGGAUGACUGCCUUGUUCCCCUAAAAUGAGCCGCCUGAGUGCGUGAGAAGAUGUUGCUCCAUCUCUACCGGUUAAGAAUGACUCAAGGACCAAACCAUGUGGCUUUGGUGUGUGGAAUGAGGGUGACACGGACACUAUUUGUCUCUCCUCAGGCAGCAAAGUGUUUUGUACUGAAGUAAAUCUAGGCUUACUUGACAUAAUGUGUGAAAUGUCUUGUUCAUGAUUUCUGAUUCUGAAGAUACAAUUUAUGCAUAGUCCAUGGUUCUUCUUGUUACUUCCUGCUCAUCCCUACCAUGGCAGAAAGGAAUUGGAAACAAUAUUAGAAUUAUAGAAUAGAAUAAUAAAAUCCUAGAGUUGGAAGAGAUCCCAAGGGCCAUUUAGUCCAACCGGCUUCUGUUAUGCAGGAACACAGAAUCAAAGCACUCCUGACAGAUGGCCAUCCAGCUUCUGCUUAAAAAUCUUCAGAGGAGACUCCACCACACUUCGAGGCAGGAGCCUACUCUACUCCCAGACAGCUCUUAAAGUCAGGAAGCUCUUCCGAAUGUUUAGGUGAAAUCCCUUUUCCUGCAGUUUGAAUCCAUUGCUCCUAGUUUCCAGAGCACCAUAAACAAGCUUGCCCCCUCCUCAAUAUGACAUCCUUUCAAAUAUCUAAACAUAUUUAUCAUGUCCCCUCCCAGCCUUCUUUUCUCCAGGAUAAACAAAUCCUAAACAUACCGUCUUCUUCAAGCCCACCCCAGUAUUCUGUGGUUGUGGAUAUCAUUACAAGCUAUAAACAAAGCCAUUAUGGCCAUACAGUUAUGAAUAUCUGGGAUGUGCACUCAGUGGAUGGCCUAUGACUGAACUCCCCUGUAUGGUUCUGACCCUUCCUGGCAGAGGACCCUUUGCUUCAUAGGUCAGAGGAAAUGCUCACACGUUUCAACCCUUUAUUUCAAGUUUACAGUGACAUCACUAGAGUUUGUGUCACCCCCAUGGAUCAUACCACAACACUACAGUUAAAAUUCCAGAAUAUCUGACAAUAUCAAUGAUUAUUUUAAAAACAGAGCAACCAAAACAAUAGCACGUUCUGGUAGCACAUGAAGAGGAAAGCAUGUUAUUCAUGUUUGUGUGUCGUUGUAAGUGGGUAGUAAUGACAACUUUGACUGGAGUGCAUGCACACCAUCAUUAUUAUAUUUACUUGUACCCUGCUUUAUUUUGGAACCUUAGUGGCAUUUGAAGGUUCAAAAAGUAAAUUAGCCUAAAGCAGGUGUCAAAGACAGAACGCCACAAGAUUCAAAGUAACAGAGUUUAUUAGAUUACAGAACUCAAAAAUGCCCGUAAA
Molecule: long non-coding RNA, 1786 nt
Filed under: Anolis carolinensis (green anole)
Lineage: Eukaryota; Metazoa; Chordata; Lepidosauria; Squamata; Anolidae
Description: lncRNA (ENSACAG00000039071.1)
Source: RNAcentral